UAAACUGAGAGUUUGAUCCUGGCUCAGGAUUAACGCUGGUGGCGUGCUUAACACAUGCAAGUCGAACGAAUCUUGAAAAUGAAGCUUCGGUGGAUUUUUCUUCUGAUUAGUGGCAAACGGGUGAGUAAUAAAUAAGUAACCUGCCUUAAAGCCUGGAAUAACUUUUCGAAAGGGAAGCUAAUACCGGAUACACUUUUUAAUUCAUAUGAAUUUUAAAGGAAAGAUUUAUCACUUUAAGAGGGGCUUAUUUCUGAUUAGCUUGUUGGUGAGGUAAAAGCUUACCAAGGCUACGAUCAGUAGCUGGUCUGAGAGGACGAACAGCCACACUGGAACUGAGACACGGUCCAGACUCCUACGGGAGGCAGCAGUGAGGAAUAUUGCGCAAUGGGCGAAAGCCUGACGCAGCGACGCCACGUGAGCGAUGAAGUCUCUAGGGAUGUAAAGCUCUGUCAAGAGGAACGAUUAUGACGGUACCUCUAAAGGAAGCCCCGGCUAACUACGUGCCAGCAGCCGCGGUAAUACGUAGGGGGCAAGCGUUAUCCGGAUUUAUUGGGCAUAAAGAGCGCGUAG
This 570-nucleotide ribosomal RNA is filed under the name bacterium. RNAcentral's name for it is "bacterial SSU rRNA". It matches the Rfam family "Bacterial small subunit ribosomal RNA", at positions 1 to 574 of the family's 1533-position model. The record is from RNAcentral.